GUAAAACAGUGCUUGGUAGCCCGGUUGCCCACUGGAAUCAGCCAGGAGCCCUAAAACCCACCAAUGUCUGGGUCGGGUCUCCAGAGAUUCUGAUUUCAUCGGUCUGGGGCCAAUCCUAACCCAGAUCAAAGAUCCUGGGACAGCUGGAACAGGCAUGGCCUAAUGGAACUCCCAAGUGGACAGGGCCAGGCAUGGACGGACAGAGCUUCUGAAACAGUCCUCAGACCCCGUGCAUCUGGAUCUUUCUGUAGGAACCACCCAUCAGCAGUGCCAGACAGAACCAAGCACAUGCACUGAUCCACCGCACGAUGGGAGCUGGUGUGGGUGAGCUUGUUUGCUUUAGCCAUGCCCACAGACAGGAACAGAAGAGCACAGUGGAGGCCACCAGCCCUCUCGCCUGCUAUUUCAAAAGGGGUUGCAGCAGGGCUGGAAAGCGGUUCCCACUGUGGUUGCCCCCUUCCUCUCUGUGGCACACACAGACCUGAAAAUAACCAGAGAGGGACUGUGAGCUGCCAGCCUAAAACAGGAAGGCUGCAGAAAGUCCUAGGCUCAGAUAGGAGAGUUUAAAAGAAUGUUGAAACCAAGAACGGGCAUCACAGAUCCCACCUGUCUCUGCACCAAAGCAGACCUCCCCCUCUCUAAUCUACUGGUGGGGAGCCUGUGUGCUCUGUAGUCAUGCAGAUCCCAGCUUUACCACUUGCUGGCUGUGUGACUUAAGCAAGCUAUUUAACUUCUCUGAACCCCUAUUUCCUGAUUUGUAAGAUAAGCGCAGCAAUAUACAAAGUUUUAGUGUUGUGGUUCACAUGAAAAAAUUUAAUCCUGGCCAGGCCGGACGUGGUGCCUCACACCUGUAAUUCCAGCACUUUGGGAGGCCAAGGUGGGCAGAUCAUGAGGUCAGGAGUUCGAGACCAGCCUGACCAACAUGGUAAAACCACAUCUCUACUAAAAAUACAAAAAUUAGCCGGGCAUGGUGGUGCGUACCGGUAGUCCCAGCUACUCAGGAGGCUGAGGCAGGAGAAUCACUUGAACCCAGGAGGCGGAGGUUGCAGUGAACCGAGAUGGCACCACUGCACUCCAGCCUGGGCAAGAAGAACGAAACUCCCUCUCAAAAAAAAGAAAAGAAAAAGAAAAAAGAAAGAGAAGAAAGCAUACCUGCACAAUUCAGCCUGACCUGCCCUCACCCAGACAACAGAAGGAACAAUGAAGACUUUAGUUGUCUGAGCCAGAACACUUCUCAGAUAACUGUGCUGCUUACAAAUUGCUUUACAUACACAAUCUCCUCUGAAAUUCUCAACCCUGAAUGCUGGGAGACAUUGCCCCCAAUUUUCAGAUGAGUAGACUGAGGCUAACAGAGGUAAAGUGGCUUGUUCAAAACUGCACUACUAGUAACUGGCAGCUCCAGGGUGAGGUCUGGCUCCUGGCCCAGGACUCUCACUGAGCAAGGGCUCGGUCGGCCCACCCAGGACCAAAGACACUGCAGACCAUGGCAGCAGGCACUUGGUGUUCUGUAGUCUGUGAGGGGAGAGCAGAGAGCAGAACCUGGUGUGUGGGACACCCUCUCCUUCACCGGUGUUCCUGCAGGGACCCUCCGUCUCCUGUAAAGGGGGAAGCCCUAGGCUGACUCCCAGCAAGCAAGUCCUCUCUCACCUUUCACCUGAAGCGAUGAAGCAUCUUAAAGUUUGCCUAAAGCAGAAGUCUACAGGAGACCCACAGAAUAAAUAUGUAAGGUUAUUUUGAAACCAAAAGGGACUUGGUCAUCAUUGCUUCUCCUCCCUCACUUUUUAGAUAAGGAGCUAGGCCUCAAGAAGAGAAGUUGCUUGGUAAAGAUGGCACAGGCAGUGGUGACAGAGCUGGUCAAGAUCCCAGAUACCCUGACUCAAAGUGGUCUUUUUAAAUUCCCACCCUGCCCCCAACCUCCAGGUCUGGGCUGAUGUGUUGGGGCCAUUCUCAACUGUGAGAGUUUAAAACUAUGCACUUUAUUCUCUAUUCACCAUGUGAAUCCAUCUUUAGGGACAACGAUUAUUCUGAGAAGUGCAGUGGGGUAGGGCUGAACUGACCUGCAGACCCCUCCCUGGCCUCUGGCCCUGGAGCCAGCCCCUGGUUAAUCAAUAAUUACAGGAAGGUGCUUCUUAUUCUCUGAAACCUUCCCCUCCUGCUUUCUCAUCAGCCUGGGAGGAGGUUACGUGGGCAGACAGAGGUCUAAUAACAGAACUCAGUGUCUGGCCAGUGGCAUCCCUCAGAGUCAGGCCCCAGCCAGGGCCCACUGAGGGCCUCAGCCUGCCUGUGGAGACCCUCGCUUUCACAGUGGAGGAAUGCAGCAUCCCUGGCUCCGGCAGCAUGACAGUCUGGCUCCCCAUUGCCUCACCAGCCAAAGAAGAUUUGAAAAUUCCAGAUGUACCCCAGGAACCAAAAAACCCUCUGGGUUUAGGUGACAACUGAUGUAGCCAAC
RNAcentral lists this long non-coding RNA (2449 nucleotides) under Homo sapiens (human). Its description in RNAcentral is "HSALNT0015524". Lineage: Eukaryota; Metazoa; Chordata; Mammalia; Primates; Hominidae. The record is from RNAcentral.